This is a long non-coding RNA of Anguilla anguilla (European eel), 1169 nucleotides long. RefSeq lists it as uncharacterized. Lineage: Eukaryota; Metazoa; Chordata; Actinopteri; Anguilliformes; Anguillidae. The transcript is spliced from 3 exons. The record is from RefSeq and is a predicted model, not a curated record.
GUCACAGCGUCACCUGAACUGUGUUCUCUCUUCCUCUUACGGGCUGCAUUUCUGCAAACUCAUUUGGCUACACAAAAUGUUCCUAUACGCGGCUGAUGAUUUGCGUCGCUUCGUUUUCAUCGCUGUCGUCAUCACAUUAUGAAAGCUUAUAUGUCAGUGAUGUGAACGCCAGCGUCUCCGAGUGUGAUCACUGCCUUGACUGGACACCCUGGUUCCCAGGACAGCGCCCCCUUUUCUGAGUCAAAGGUCACCCCUGACCACAGCUCCUCUGUGCCUGAGGGAGAAAUCACCGUGGUCACCAUGCAAUGAGCUGCAUUUACAUCGUCAUCAAGUGACACACUUUCACAGAUUGUCAUUGGCUGCCUUGCUGCCUGCGUGUUCGUGCAGCCACACACACCAAUACUGAAGAUGAACAAGGAUUCCCCGUGACUGCGCAACGACAGUUAAGAUGAUUCAAGAGAUCAUGUUCAUGGAUUUUUUUUCUUGCCAGAAAUAGCAGGAAGAUAUGUUCUCUUAGUUGCAGAAGGGAAAUAAUAAAUAAACAAUAAAUAAUGUUAUGCAUAAUCUCAUUAAUUAUUUAUCACGUUCAACAAGUUAAAUAGAGUGUGACUAAAGUUUUAUUGUCGAUCACCUGGUACAUCAAAUCCACUGUAUUCAGUGAAAUGAUAAACCAAAUGGUAGAUGAUAAUAUUUUCCCACCUAUUAAGCCAUUUAUUGUCACUGUCUUUCAUCUUCGUCGCCCAGAAUAUCUGCACAGUGAAAUAUUCACUGUUUAAUCAACUCUUACAGAGAUUAUUACUAGUCUAGUGGACUCGUACAAACCCUGUUAGAGUUGAAUUAAUACUGGGCAUUUUACUACGUACCCUGAGUCUUCUGUGGUAUGAUUCUAAACACAGAUUCACAUGACAAAUGGACCACCCCUGCUGCCAGGUGUUCUAGCCAGCACAGGUAGUCAGCACACAACACAUCAGCCACCUGCGAAGCACAGGGUACAGCUCCUGUAUACAUGAGAAUCGCUAGUGACCGACCACGCAUAUAGGUUUAAGUAAGCAUUUGCCAGCAUUGCUGGAGUCAAGUGAAUGCAUGUGAACUGAACACAGUUAAGUGUACGGUAUAAGUAAAUAAUACACCUGCAGUUAUAAUCAUAAUUAUAACACCAUGAAUGUAUU